UUGGAGGGCAAGUCUGGUGCCAGCAGCCGCGGUAAUUCCAGCUCCAAUAGCGUAUAUUAGAGUUGUUGCAGUUAAAAGGCUCGUAGUUGAAUUUCGAGAUCAGUACGCUGGUCGUGCCUUCGGUAUGCAAUGGUGUCACUGGUUUCUCCCUUCUGAAGCACUGUCAUGUCAUUAAGUUGGUGUGGCGGGGAAUCAGGACUGUUACUUUGAAAGAAUUAGAGUGUUUAAAGCAGGCUCGCGCUUGAAUACAUUAGCAUGGAAUAAUGAGAUAGGACGUUUGACCCUAUUUUGUUGGUUUCUAGGAUCGACGUAAUGAUUAAUAGGGGUAGUUGGGGGCAUUAGUAUUCAAUUGUCAGAGGUGAAAUUCUUGGAUUUAUUGAAGACUAACUACUGCGAAAGCAUUUGCCAAGGAUGUUUUCAUCAAUCAAGAACGAAAGUUAGGGGAUCGAAGACGAUCAGAUACCGUCGUAGUCUUAACCAUAAACUAUGCCGACUAGGGAUCGGAUGAUGUUAAUUUUUUAAUGACUCAUUCGGCGCCUUACGGGAAAC
Molecule: ribosomal RNA, 549 nt
Filed under: uncultured Glomus
Lineage: Eukaryota; Fungi; Glomeromycota; Glomeromycetes; Glomerales; Glomeraceae
Description: SSU rRNA
Rfam family: Eukaryotic small subunit ribosomal RNA
Source: RNAcentral